CGAAUCUCAAGCCCAAAUACAAUCACCUAACCGAAUCAAUGGAUAGGAUCCAUUCCAACCUUCAAACUUAGGCAUAAAACCGAAUCCGGUGUGACACGAAUCAGCUUUCUCGCCGCUCCUUCCACAUGUCCCUCAAAUCGGUCUUGAAAAUCACCAAACCAGAAAAUCGCUUAUCAGGAACAAAGGAUCGUGUUUUUAGCUUUUCAGAUUCAUAUUUUGAUUAAGGAUGAAUGGUAUCACGACUCCAUGUUUGUCAAUGGAGUUCAAGGCUUCAGGGACGCAACUCCACCUUAGUAUAGAGUUCUGGUGUUUUCCAUCAUCGCGCUCUGGGAUUGGCAAUGACGUCGCAUUUGCACUGCAUUUGUGAAAGGCACCGCGUGAUCCUCCUUCAUGCUCAAAUAGAAGUCUCGUAUGCGAUUCAAUCAUCGACAUCGCGUAAUCACCGUCGCGUCUUCAUAAACUUCCGCUCAUGUUCCAAUGAUUCGAACGCCCGCAGAUUCAUAGUCAUCGACACAACUUGAUUCCUCCGCGAGCGUCAACUGUCGUCGUUCUGCGAAAAUCGCCGUGGAGCCUCGCCUUCACCAUUAUUGUAUUUCAGAACAAGACGAACAUCUUACAAGGACUCUCUUCACCAAGUUGAUUCCAAUCGAUGAUUCAAAUCGAUUUGAAGAUGCGCGUGCGCAAAAGCUGAAACAAAAUGAAGUGUGAAACUCACCGGAUUCGCCGCGGCUGUAAGAACAUAGUUAUGGCUGCGGUGGUUAUGCAGCGAAGUGUUCACGCGAGAGGGAAGUGAGCUUCUCAAAGAUGAACUGUGAAGAGUGAAGAUUUUGAGAAAUGAUUCGAGAGCCAUGAAUUGGAGAAAUGGAAAGGUAUUUAUACAGGUUUAGAAGUUGAAUUAAAAAUUAGGUUAGUUACAAACGGUUAGAGAUUCUGUUAUGGAUUUGUUAGAGGGUUUUGUAACUGAUUUCUGUUUGUUGUGAAUUGGUUAGAGGGUUGUUAGAAUUAGUUAGAAAUUCGGUUAGAAUUCUGUUAGUUUUAGUUGUUGUUUUUUCAAAGUUCUUUGUGAAAGUUUAUGUUGGUUUUUUGAUAUCCAAAAACUGUUAUGCUUAUCUUUAUUAUUAUCGAUUCUGGCGGAGUGGAUUGGCUUCAAUGCCGGUAUGUGGAGGCUGGUUCAGUUUUGUGUGCGAUGGCCUUGAGUCUAUAGUUAAGGUUUUCAAUAGGUGGUUAUGUUUUGUUGGAGAUCGAAGCAAGGUUGAAGAGUUAGAAGAGGGCAUUGUGAAGUUCUGUUGAAGGUCGUGAAUCAUAGGCCUUCCUGAACUUGAUGCUCGGAUUUUGGAGGUUCGUGCGUCGCCGCCUUGAACUGGAGUUGUUGUUUCGCUCAGUUGUUGUGGUGCACCCAUGAAAUACAGAUGGAGCGCCACUGUUAGUGAAAAUGACAUUGAGACAAAAUGGUGAGUUAGUGCACUUAGAGUUAACGGAUUGUUUAGUAGUUAGGAUACUGAGAUUUUUUGUGCACUAAGUUUCUAUUGCUUAAAUGGAAAUGAAUUGAUGAAUGAACUGAAUUAGUGAUCAAAACAGAUAAUGUGCAGUUGAAAUAAUUAUUGAAACAAAACAGGAAUUUGAAAUGAUUUAAAAUGUUAGAUGGAAUUGGGAUGAAGUUACCUGUCACAUUUAGCUUAAAAUUCUGCUAUUUUAAUGUUAGGAACUCAACAAAUUAUUAUCCUAUUGAAUGCUAAACUGUUUGUCAUUGAAAAUUUGGCUAGUGGACUAUUGUUUUCAUGUAUGCCCUCAUUCUAAUAUGUGAUGAUGUUAUCAGUUAGUUAUAAGAUUGUUAUAAUGAAGCUGGUUGGUUCUAUUAGAAAGAAAAAUGCAGGUUGGAAAAUUGUGCAGGUUAUUGGAUUUAUGCAGGUUGAUGGGUUUAUGCGAGUUGAUGCUUGGAACCGGGUGCAAUGGUCAUGCUUGAGUGAACAUGUUAUGUUGGUCAUGGUUUAUUGGAUUGUAAAUUGGUGGUUGAAUUGUAAUAUGUACGUAGUACGAGUGUAUUUAGAAAAUAAAUUGGAAUGUAUUUGGGUUAUGAUUAUCGAUUUGUAAUUUUUGAAUGAAAAUUGUAUUGGAUUGAAUGAAUUAUUAUAUUAUAAUUUGGAAAUUGGGUUGGCUUUUGCAUGGGA
Molecule: long non-coding RNA, 2168 nt
Organism: Lathyrus oleraceus (garden pea)
Lineage: Eukaryota; Viridiplantae; Streptophyta; Magnoliopsida; Fabales; Fabaceae
Exons: 4
Source: RefSeq, a predicted model, not a curated record